AGCGCGCUGCGCCCGGAGAGUCUUGCAAAACUUCCAACAUAUUAUUGUAUUGUGUAAUUUGUGUACACAAAUUUUGGCGGGCUAUGGUGUGUCCAAUGGUGUCAAUGAUUCUGCUUGGAAUCUGUUCCAAGUGGCUGAAACGAGACCUCACGAAUGGGAUUGAACGAUUCCAACAUGUAUGGAUUUGUUAGCAAAACAUUGGUUAGGUUAGCAGUUGUCAGAAAUAAAAAUUCAAUUUUUAAGUGAUCCAGAAUUAAUAUUCCAACACUGUGCUCGUAAAACUGUAAAUUAUGAGGAUUCAAAUUUUAAUGUUGGUAUGCCAAUAUUUUCCAUUCAUAAGAAUCAUGAUCAUCCAGGCUUUGGAGCAAUUUGAUCAAUGAACCUAUUAUCCGUUUCUGGUCAUAUAAAUUAUUUUGGAAAAUGGACAGAUCUCACUCAAAUUAUCAUUUCUCCAUUGGUAAUGAAAAAAGGUAAUACCCAUGUUGUACUUUAUAGAGCUCAGGGAUUUUAAGGUGAACUCAUGAGACAUGUCCAUGUAUUGGAAGAUCUUUUCUUUUUCUCAAUGCAAAUGAUUUUUACUCAAAGGUGGAUAUGUCAUGUCCAAAACAUAUAUCAGAUUGCUUUAAUCUGUUUGUUUACACCAAAAUUGUGCACCACAUCGUGCACAUAUUUCUGAAGCCCCGGCAAGGGAUUAUCGUCUGACGAUAUUAGUGAUGAUCUCCAGAAUGUGGCUGACAUUUUCGGCUACACUGAGAUAAUAUUUCAACAUUAUAUGUAUCACAUAAAAGAAAAUUCAUCGUGGCGCCACGGACAAUUUCUGUAAAACCGGCAUGGCAUUCAACGUAUUAACAGCACUAACAAUGGAUGAACUAAAUGAAGCAGCAAAUCAAUUUAUUAACGAAGAUGGUAAUGCUUUCAAAACUUUAGUAAGCUAUCAAAUGGAAAAAAUUAUGUCACAUUUGGAAACUACUGAAGCUAAUACUGUUGAAAGUAUUAGAAAAGAAAUUAAAAAUUUUUGUGGUAGAAGGAAGGAGAACACAUAAGAAGACGCUACAAAACCGAGAACAAUUACAAACGAGAAACUAUUUUAAAAUAAUAUACUAUUAGAUCUCACAGGUUGAAUAAUCAUUUUGUAGAUACAAACAUUAUUUUCUAAUAGACCGGUAAGAGGGAUAUCAACUAAGAGGUGGUCUACUACAAUUACAAAACAAACAAAAACGCAGGAUCAAACAUUGGGCGAUUUCGUAAUAAGAGAUAUUCUUUUUAGACUUUCUGCUUCCUGCUGUAUAAUGACGGGGAAUGCUUGGUAAAUAGAACUUACAGAUUCUUUAUUAAAAAGAAGUUAAUGUUGUGCGAAAAAUAAUGACUCAAUUAAACACAAGGGAUAUAUUUACAAAAGUAGUAUCUUAGUAUUUAUUGGCUUAUUGGGUGUUCCAUUACCGAGGACUCUUACACAUGAUACUACAAGUCAACUGUCUGAUUUUGAUAAAAAGGACCCGCCAAGUCCACCUUAGGUAUAAUUUUUCUGGUUUUUCAAAGUAUCCGUUAUACAGGGUGUCCCAAAAAUCUCUCGCAUUACGGAAAUGUAGGGUAGCUGAGAUCAUUCUUUUU
Molecule: long non-coding RNA, 1611 nt
Organism: Megalopta genalis
Lineage: Eukaryota; Metazoa; Arthropoda; Insecta; Hymenoptera; Halictidae
Source: RefSeq, a predicted model, not a curated record